Molecule: RNA transcript, 1100 nt
Organism: Brassica napus (rape)
Lineage: Eukaryota; Viridiplantae; Streptophyta; Magnoliopsida; Brassicales; Brassicaceae
Exons: 3
Source: RefSeq, a predicted model, not a curated record
CGAUUGGAGGUCUUUUACAAGGGGUUCUUAGCAAAACUGAAAAAAAAAUAAAUCAAAAAGUCCAAAAUAAAGAAGAACCGCCGCCUAAAUUGGGUUUUUUAGAAAUGGUAAGAAGCCCUAACGUGGCGCCUUGUGAUUGGAAAACCCUCCCCCGUCAGUUGCUCUCUCUCUCUCCUUCGCCGCUCGACUUCUCCGUCUUCGCAUGCAAAGCUCGUUUUCUCUCUAGAAUCUCGUCUCCAGUCUCGUUUCUCUCUCGAAUCUCGUCUCCAAUCUCGUUUACUCUCUCGAAUCUCGUCUCAAAUCUCGUUUCUCUCGAAUCUCGUCUCGGACCUCGUCUCGAUCUCCUUAUCGGUAAGAAAUCAUUCUUUUGAUUUGAUCUUUAUGUUACUGCUGUUUGUGAUCCUCUGUUCUCUGUUCGUGGUCCUCUGUUCUUGUCUUCUUUCUCCUGAGGUUUGUGAUAAAGAUCACAAGAGAGAAGCUUCAAGAGAAGAAGAUGAAGAAGAAGCGAGAUAAGUUCGAACAUCCCUUUCUCCUGCUGUCUCGAUUUUGGUUUAUGAUGUCGAUGAAAACUGAUGUAGAUUACUAGUAGAGUUUUGUUUGACUGUUGAAAAGAUUGAAUAUUUUGCAUAGAAACAGAGUCGGUUGGUUUGUUAUAAGAAGUGUUGAUGAUGAAUUGGUUAAGGGAAUGAUUAGCUGAUCUUGAAGUCGGUUGUGAAGAAAAUCUCUGGAAGGAAGUGGGGUUUUUGCAGUGGACAAGCUUGUAUCUCUGUAGAUUACGCUCUUGUAGAACAGAGUUUUACGUCUUCUCUGAUUGAAACUUUGAAGCCGAUGAUAAGGUCUUUCUUCGGGGAAAACCCUAAAGAAUCUGGAUGUCUCUCUAGGAUUGUUACCAAGAAACAUUUUCAGAGAUUGGCUCGUCUUCUUAAUGAUCCUGGUGUUCAAGCUUCAAUCGUUUAUGGUGGCUCCACCAUUUUUCUCUGAGUGUAAAAGAAUUUGUCUUUCCUUUUGGCAAGCACCAUUUCUCUCCGAUUGUAAAAGCAAAACUUGUGUUUCCUUUUGUGUAAUCAUUUGUCUUAAAGCAAAUACCAUUUCUCUUAUCA